AGCGAACGCUGGCGGCAGGCUUAACACAUGCAAGUCGAGCGGGCGUAGCAAUACGUCAGCGGCAGACGGGUGAGUAACGCGUGGGAACAUACCUUUUGGUUCGGAACAACACAGGGAAACUUGUGCUAAUACCGGAUAAGCCCUUACGGGGAAAGAUUUAUCGCCGAAAGAUUGGCCCGCGUCUGAUUAGCUAGUUGGUGAGGUAAUGGCUCACCAAGGCGACGAUCAGUAGCUGGUCUGAGAGGAUGAUCAGCCACAUUGGGACUGAGACACGGCCCAAACUCCUACGGGAGGCAGCAGUGGGGAAUAUUGGACAAUGGGCGCAAGCCUGAUCCAGCCAUGCCGCGUGAGUGAUGAAGGCCCUAGGGUUGUAAAGCUCUUUUGUGCGGGAAGAUAAUGACGGUACCGCAAGAAUAAG
Molecule: ribosomal RNA, 418 nt
Filed under: bacterium Ellin618
Lineage: Bacteria; Pseudomonadati; Acidobacteriota; Terriglobia; Terriglobales; Acidobacteriaceae
Also listed under: 1 other name
Description: bacterial SSU rRNA
Rfam family: Bacterial small subunit ribosomal RNA
Source: RNAcentral